Molecule: long non-coding RNA, 2347 nt
Filed under: Homo sapiens (human)
Lineage: Eukaryota; Metazoa; Chordata; Mammalia; Primates; Hominidae
Description: HSALNT0395371
Source: RNAcentral
GCCGCCUUCGCUGCUCCGCCGCGGCUCUCAGCGCCGCUCAGCGCGGCGGGCCCGCCCGGGCUCAGGUGCCCCCCGCUCUCCGGACCUUCUCGCCCGGCCCCGCGUCCCCUCCGCGGGCUUCCCCCGGCGGCCGGCCGGGCUCGGAGGCUCGCGGCCGGAGCGGAGCGGAGUGCGCACGCCGGGGUGGCAGGACUUCGGCAAGACCAACUUUCCGUGGUCCUGUCUGGUGUGAACCGUCAGCACAGAUGGCCUCCUGGAGCUUCCCCGAGUCGUUCGCUGGGGGAAGCGGGCGGUGAGCGGCCAGCCCGGGCGCUCCGCAGGCCGCGAGCUCCCGGCAGGGCUGGUGGCGGGGGUCCGCCUGGGGGAGGAAUCCCCGCCUGCUCCAUCGGACCCGGCCUGGCGCGGCUCGCGGCGCUCGGCGGGCUCCCUUCCAUUCUAGAAUCUUCCCGCUUGCUUCCCAGCCCGCGUUCUUCCGCCUGCCUUUAAUUGUAAUUUACAGGAUUAAGGAGUUUGGGGAAGUCGCAGAGCUGCAGCGGAAAGGCAGGGGUCUGAGACUACUUUUGAGAAGAGAAACAACGCAAAACGAUCGCUGGAGGGCCAGAGCCCUGGUCGAAGAAGCAGACACAGGUUCCCACGGCGUCUGACGCCUGCGGAGCAAGUCCAGAGCCAGCUGGACUCGCAGCCUCUGGCCCGGCGGCACCAACUCCUCACUGGGUCAUUUUGAGCGCGCUGUGCCCACCUUUUCUGUUGCGUGUGGACGUGGGGAGGAUCUUCUAAGUCCCUCCAACGAAGGCAAGUGUGAGACUCUGGCCCUUUAUUUGUAAGAAGCAAGCCUUCAGAUUGCAGAAGUGUCGCGCGGGUCGCCGUGCGUUGCGCGAGUGGGAAGAUGGAGGAGGCCGGCACGCUGCUUUCGUGGACGCAAGUGAACCGGGCGUGAAGGCAGGGUGCGAGCUCUGCCCUUGGCCCAGCCCUGCGUGGGCGCCGUCCCAGAUUCCGGGCGGUGCGGGGUGCAGAGAUCUGGAGAGACUUGCGGGCUCCCCAGCGCAGGCUGCUCUGGGAUUUCGUUGGAAGAUCCGGCAGAGCCUUGGAGGAGAGGGCCCGGGAGGCUGUGUGUGCAGCGGAAACUUGUACGAAUGCCCCCACAGCGGAAAUGGUGCGCACGAGUAAUUUCUGCGGUGCACCCUUUUAAAAAUUGACAAGUGAACAAGAUCAAUUUUUUAAGAAAGCAAAGGUAGAAAACAAAAGGCGUGCGACUUCUUGACUGGCUUGUUCCCGCCUUUCUUCCUUCUCUAUACUCAGAUCAGAAACUUUUCUUUAAUUGCUCUUAUUCAGUGCGACAACUUUUAAUAAAAGCAUUUGCAUUUUAAGCCUGAGUUGCAACCAUAGAUUUAUUGCGAAGUGACAACGUGUCUAUGGAAUAUUUUCGCAGAUGAGACAGGACAUGCGCUCUAGUCGUGCCCAGAUUAAAGCGACGCUGGGCCAUGUGCCUGUGUAGUGCAGACUCGGAGGGGCACACACAUACUCGUCACCACAUGACCACUGUCUAUUAAUAUUGUCAUACCUAAACACUCGCAAAAACAAAAGUUGCUUUUCUUCCCUGUAAUUAAAUCUAAUUUGUUAAUUGUCUUUCCUCUUGCAAUGUUGUUUUCAUCUUGAGGUGACACAUUAUUAUUUUGUCUAAUAUUAUUUACAAAUUAAUGCUGUAUAUUUUACAUUAGUGAAACAUAUAAUUAGGUGUUUGGUUCAAUCGGUAUCAUUCAGAUAAAACAAAGCCUAUCUGCAAGAUUGAUUGGAAGUGGAGUAGUUGGUUCUAAUUUACCAUCACAGUCACAGUUUAUUGAAGCUACCUGGCCCCAGAUUCACAGAAGCUAGUUUUACCUAAGGUGCAUUUGAUGCUUUGUUUACAAGUGUUUAUUUUCCCCAACCACUUAAUGCAAAAAAAAAAAAACACCUUCAAAUAUUAGGGCUUUCAUUUCAUUUUCUGUCUUCUUUCAUUCCUCCCCCCACCCAAAGUUCCUUUCUUCUAUUCUCUGGCCACCUCUCUCCGUUUCCUCCCCUACCCCCAACUUUUGUUUUAGGUUCUUAGAGUUAAAUUCAGCAUGAUUUGGUGCCUCUAAUGCUGUGACAAGUGACUGCUAAUUGGUUCUCACUUGAGCAAAGAUAUUACCAUACUAAUAUUAUUAUUGGUAAGAAGAGGUAAUUGAUAACACCACCUGCCACUCUGGGGCAAUCAGGAUGAUAAAUGUUUCCAUCAACAGGAAAUCUGUGCUUGGUGUGCCACAGCCCAACGCAAACAGCAUGUCAAGUGCCAAUUAUAAAGAUGUUGCUUUUCUAUUACAUUGGGUGG